GACGAACGCUGGCGGCGUGCCUAAUACAUGCAAGUCGAACGCUUCUUUCCUCCCGAGUGCUUGCACUCAAUUGGAAAGAGGAGUGGCGGACGGGUGAGUAACACGUGGGUAACCUACCCAUCAGAGGGGGAUAACACUUGGAAAAAGGUGCUAAUACCGCAUAACAGUUUAUGCCGCAUGGCAUAAGAGUGAAAGGCGCUUUCGGGUGUCGCGGAUGGAUGGACCCGCGGUGCAUUAGCUAGUUGGUGAGGUAACGGCUCACCAAGGCCACGAUGCAUAGCCGACCUGAGAGGGUGAUCGGCCACACUGGGACUGAGACACGGCCCAGACUCCUACGGGAGGCAGCAGUAGGGAAUCUUCGGCAAUGGACGAAAGUCUGACCGAGCAACGCCGCGUGAGUGAAGAAGGUUUUCGGAUCGUAAAACUCUGUUGUUAGAGAAGAACAAGGACGUUAGUAACUGAACGUCCCCUGACGGUAUCUAACCAGAAAGCCACGGCUAACUACGUG
RNAcentral lists this ribosomal RNA (508 nucleotides) under uncultured bacterium. RNAcentral's name for it is "partial 16S ribosomal RNA". It matches the Rfam family "Bacterial small subunit ribosomal RNA", at positions 28 to 507 of the family's 1533-position model. The record is from RNAcentral.